UCCGUAGGCGGGCAGCUAAGUCAGUGGUGAAAGUCUGCAGCUCAACUGUAGAAUUGCCAUUGAUACUGGUUGUCUUGAAUUAUUAUGAAGUGGUUAGAAUAUGUAGUGUAGCGGUGAAAUGCAUAGAUAUUACAUAGAAUACCAAUUGCGAAGGCAGAUCACUAAUAAUAUAGUGACGCUGAUGGACGAAAGCGUGGGGAGCGAACAGGAUUAGAUACCCUGGUAGUCC
Molecule: ribosomal RNA, 229 nt
Filed under: uncultured bacterium
Lineage: Bacteria
Description: partial 16S ribosomal RNA
Rfam family: Bacterial small subunit ribosomal RNA
Source: RNAcentral